GCGAGAGUGGCGGAAAUGGCAGACGCACCGGAUUUAGGUUCCGGCGGUUUCACCGUGGGGGUUCAAGUCCCCCCUCUCGCACCA
This 84-nucleotide transfer RNA is filed under the name Deltaproteobacteria bacterium. RNAcentral's name for it is "tRNA-Leu". It matches the Rfam family "tRNA". Rfam says of the family: Transfer RNA (tRNA) molecules are approximately 80 nucleotides in length. Their secondary structure includes four short double-helical elements and three loops (D, anti-codon, and T loops). Further hydrogen bonds mediate the characteristic L-shaped molecular structure. tRNAs have two regions of fundamental functional importance: the anti-codon, which is responsible for specific mRNA codon recognition, and the 3' end, to which the tRNAs corresponding amino acid is attached (by aminoacyl-tRNA synthetases). tRNAs cope with the degeneracy of the genetic code in two manners: having more than one tRNA (with a specific anti-codon) for a particular amino acid; and 'wobble' base-pairing, i.e. permitting non-standard base-pairing at the 3rd anti-codon position. Lineage: Bacteria; Pseudomonadati; Myxococcota; Myxococcia. The record is from RNAcentral.